Molecule: microRNA, 22 nt
Filed under: Schistosoma japonicum
Lineage: Eukaryota; Metazoa; Platyhelminthes; Trematoda; Strigeidida; Schistosomatidae
Description: miRNA-3139
Source: RNAcentral
GGUUAUAUCUAGGAGCAUGUUU